Molecule: ribosomal RNA, 599 nt
Filed under: Hyaloscypha spiralis
Lineage: Eukaryota; Fungi; Ascomycota; Leotiomycetes; Helotiales; Hyaloscyphaceae
Description: eukaryotic LSU rRNA
Rfam family: Eukaryotic large subunit ribosomal RNA
Source: RNAcentral
AUAAGCGGAGGAAAAGAAACCAACAGGGAUUGCCUCAGUAACGGCGAGUGAAGCGGCAACAGCUCAAAUUUGAAAUCUGGCUCUUUCAGGGUCCGAGUUGUAAUUUGUAGAAGAUGCUUUGAGUGUAGCUCCGGUCUAAGUUCCUUGGAACAGGACGUCAUAGAGGGUGAGAAUCCCGUACGUGACUGGGUGCUUUCGCUCGUGUAAAGCUCUUUCAACGAGUCGAGUUGUUUGGGAAUGCAGCUCAAAAUGGGUGGUAAAUUUCAUCUAAAGCUAAAUAUUGGCCAGAGACCGAUAGCGCACAAGUAGAGUGAUCGAAAGAUGAAAAGCACUUUGGAAAGAGAGUUAAACAGUACGUGAAAUUGUUGAAAGGGAAGCGCUUGCAACCAGACUUGCAUGCUGUUGAUCAUCCGAGAUUUUUCCCGGUGCACUCGGCAGUAUUCAGGCCAGCAUCGGUUUUGGUGGGCGGAUAAAGGCCUUGGGAAUGUAGCUUCUUUCGGGGAGUGUUAUAGCCCUCGGUGCAAUGCGCCCUACUGGGACCGAGGACCGCGCUUCGGCUAGGAUGCUGGCGUAAUGGUUGUAAGCGACCCGUCUUGAAA